AUGAGGGCACGAAAGCAGAGGCCCAAUUAUUCAACCCAAGCAGAUGUUCAAGGGGUUCAAGGGGAUGCAGAGAAUGCACUAAGCAUAGAGUCGGCAGAGGGAGCUUCCGCUAACGUGGAACCAUUGGCAAAGAGCAAAUUAGGUGUGAAAAGAAAGAAGGUUGUUACAUCAAGGAGGCACACACCGAAGAGGGCAAGGAUAGAGAGCUCUGAAGAAUCUGAAGGUGCUCAAGAAGAAGCAAACAAAGCAAUAGAUGAUAUGAUUGAAGCAGCAGAUGAAUACAGUAGGUUGCACAGUGGGAUUGUUGGCAAUGCGGCAAGGUUGUUGGACAAUACUACAGGGAACAACUUGGAGAUGUCAGUGGUGUGUGGGGCGGCAAGAAAUGAAGUUAUAUGCUCUCCAAAAAUAGCAACAGGAACUGAUGAAGCUGCAGAGAACCAAAAGGAUGGUGUUGAAAAUAAUCAAUUGUCAAUAGUUCCUUCAGGACAGGAUGAGGACUUAGGUGGAUGUUUAUCAAUAGAUCCUCCAGAGAUGCAUGGGAAGUUCAAAGUUGUAAUGUCAGGUCUUAGGAAGACGGACUUGAUGAAUGCUUUUACAGCCGUUUCAACGUCCAACGACGUGUCGGUUGCUUCCGCAAACAGCAUGCCUGGUUCUGCAGCAACCAAGAUGCAAACUCCUGAAGAUUCAGGAAUGCAGAUUGUUGCCACUCCAGCACCAAACCAAGUGUUUGCAGGUACAUCUUCAAGGACUUCUCCAGUUAGCCUCAACCGCCAGAUGUCUGCUGUCGAGCUUGACAUUAGGGAGGAGAUAGAGGAGGCGGCUAUCAACCUCAACGUCACUAUGUCACAGGGAUCAUUUAGCACACAGCCUCAGCCAAAGAGGGUGGUGAGGCCUGGGAAAUAUGCAAGGUCUCCCUUUGUAAUGGGUUAUGACCCUCCUACUAGAGCUCCAGCGAAUGUAGUGCAGAUAUACAAGCUAUUCUAUAGGGAGAACGCGAACAAGCUAAAAGACAUGUGGAUUAUCAGCACCAACCCAAAAUACAUGGACAUCAGUGGGGAGCGGCUUCGUGAGAUGCUACGCGAUGGUGGUGAGGUGGAUAGUGUGCUGAUGACAUUGGUGAUGGGAAGGUACCAACAGAUGGAUGCGGUCUUUGCUGCUGCAAAAGGGGAAGGAUGUUGGCGACAUUGGCUGGAGCCAGAUUUUGUGAACCAUGUUAGCAGAGGAGACAACAUUUCAAAGCUGAGGUACAUCAAGGACAUGUUCGUGGGGCCGCAUAUCACUUACGAGGUUCACAAGUGCACCGAGGUUGUGUUGCCAGUUAAGUUCGACUUCAAAUGGUCUACAUACAUAUGGGACUUUCCAAGGGCGAAGAUUUUUGUCCUCGACCCAACAAUGAACAAUGGUGACGAGUCUGAUAAGGCAAGACACGGGCAUAUAUGCUACUCACUUUGGAAGGAAUUGGAUGGGAACUAA
This 1473-nucleotide ribosomal RNA is filed under the name Triticum aestivum (bread wheat). RNAcentral describes it as "partial small subunit ribosomal RNA". Lineage: Eukaryota; Viridiplantae; Streptophyta; Magnoliopsida; Poales; Poaceae. The record is from RNAcentral.